UGGACGUGGGGUGUUCGCCAGUGGCUGUUCAGCUCACAUGGCCUUCAGCAUCUGGAAGACAUGGAGCGGAGCCACAUCAGAUUCUGCAAGUCCACCACGAUCCUGGGGAAACAAAUGCGGUACUUAGUGAAACCUGGGAGCCCCAGGGCAGACCAGCUCCGUUAACUGCGCCAGCUGGGCCACCGAGAUGAAAUCCCAUACAGAGACUUGGGAGUUUCCAGGAUAGCAGAUUGGGGCCAGAGGGGUCCUGAAGCAGGCUUAUCUGCAAAAAGUAUGAGCUCAAAACCCUGACCCUCGCCUUCUCACUUGAACACAUCGGGAUCGAUGGUGGCGCCAACAACCCGUGCAGCCUCGCAGAGCUCCGUCUCCAACGUUCCCAGCACCUUCUUCCACCAAAGAGCCAAUUUCUGCACUGUGGAAUCCUUCAGGCGUGUGGAUGUUCCCAGUCCAGCACCACUACCAGUUGCCACCAUUUGUGCAGCCUGAAAAAAGGGAGCUUUGAGCCCAGGCCGCCAGAGAUUUCACAGCACUUCCUACUGGCCACCUGUUUCCUUGAAAGGUCACCACAGCCCAGACAGGCAGCUCCAGCACCGAGGACAGUUCUCCACCAAGAAUUGAAGGCCACCUAACAAAAAUUCCAAUACCAGUCACGUGAAGCACUCUUUUCAGUUGUUGGCCAGAGUUGUCAAGAGACUCCUAAAACAUACAACCUACUGAUGUUGCCCUUUAUAACACCCUAGAGAGAUUUCCCAAGGAGCACAUGCAUUGCAAGCCCACUGACACUGGAUGAACAUUCGUCUUCCCCUUCAUUUUUGCCAGCACUUUUUGUCAACUAUAUUGUGAGUUUCGGG
Non-coding RNA from Myodes glareolus (Bank vole), 851 nucleotides. The record is from RefSeq and is a predicted model, not a curated record. NCBI's taxonomy places the organism in Eukaryota, Metazoa, Chordata, Mammalia, Rodentia, Cricetidae.